CUGUAACAGUUUUGGUGAGAUCACUCUGAAAUGAACAUGUUCACAUCAUGUUUGAACUGGGGUCUCCUGCAUUGCCGGAGGAUUCUUUACCAAGUGAGCUAUCAGGUUAUGAAGCCAACUGUUCCCCUCUGCUUACAGAUGCGCCGAGGCAGGGAGUUCUUUUCCAUCGGAAAUUGGCCUCAGAGGAGGGAAGAUGCUGGAUUGCAGCCCACCAGGCUCCUCUGUCCAUGGGAUUCUCCAGGCAAGAAUACUGGAGUGGAUUGCCAUUUCCUCCUCCAGGGGAUCUUCCUGACCCAGGGACUGAACCUGAGUCUCCUGUGUUUCCUACACUGCAGGCAGAUUCUUUACCUGCUGAUAUGUCCAGAAAGAAAAUAUUAGAUUAUUAUUUUUGAGAUUGAUUCUCAAAAUUUUAAUUGUUAAGCUAUGUGAUUGAUAUUAA
Dama dama (fallow deer) is the source of this 439-nucleotide long non-coding RNA. RefSeq lists it as uncharacterized. Lineage: Eukaryota; Metazoa; Chordata; Mammalia; Artiodactyla; Cervidae. The record is from RefSeq and is a predicted model, not a curated record. The transcript is spliced from 3 exons.